AGAGUUUGAUCCUGGCUCAGAUUGAACGCUGGCGGCAGGCCUAACACAUGCAAGUCGAGCGGUAACACAGAGAGCUUGCUCUCGGGUGACGAGCGGCGGACGGGUGAGUAAUGUCUGGGAAACUGCCUGAUGGAGGGGGAUAACUACUGGAAACGGUAGCUAAUACCGCAUAACGUCGCAAGACCAAAGUGGGGGACCUUCGGGCCUCAUGCCAUCAGAUGUGCCCAGAUGGGAUUAGCUAGUAGGUGGGGUAAUGGCUCACCUAGGCGACGAUCCCUAGCUGGUCUGAGAGGAUGACCAGCCACACUGGAACUGAGACACGGUCCAGACUCCUACGGGAGGCAGCAGUGGGGAAUAUUGCACAAUGGGCGCAAGCCUGAUGCAGCCAUGCCGCGUGUAUGAAGAAGGCCUUCGGGUUGUAAAGUACUUUCAGCGAGGAGGAAGGCAUUAAGGUUAAUAACCUUGGUGAUUGACGUUACUCGCAGAAGAAGCACCGGCUAACUCCGUGCCAGCAGCCGCGGUAAUACGGAGGGUGCAAGCGUUAGUCGGAAUUACUGGGCGUAAAGCGCACGCAGGCGGUCUGUCAAGUCGGAUGUGAAAUCCCCGGGCUCAACCUGGGAACUGCAUUCGAAACUGGCAGGCUAGAGUCUUGUAGAGGGGGGUAGAAUUCCAGGUGUAGCGGUGAAAUGCGUAGAGAUCUGGAGGAAUACCGGUGGCGAAGGCGGCCCCCUGGACAAAGACUGACGCUCAGGUGCGAAAGCGUGGGGAGCAAACAGGAUUAGAUACCCUGGUAGUCCACGCCGUAAACGAUGUCGACUUGGAGGUUGUGCCCUUGAGGCGUGGCUUCCGGAGCUAACGCGUUAAGUCGACCGCCUGGGGAGUACGGCCGCAAGGUUAAAACUCAAAUGAAUUGACGGGGGCCCGCACAAGCGGUGGAGCAUGUGGUUUAAUUCGAUGCAACGCGAAGAACCUUACCUACUCUUGACAUCCAGAGAACUUAGCAGAGAUGCUUUGGUGCCUUCGGGAACUCUGAGACAGGUGCUGCAUGGCUGUCGUCAGCUCGUGUUGUGAAAUGUUGGGUUAAGUCCCGCAACGAGCGCAACCCUUAUCCUUUGUUGCCAGCGAUUAGGUCGGGAACUCAAAGGAGACUGCCAGUGAUAAACUGGAGGAAGGUGGGGAUGACGUCAAGUCAUCAUGGCCCUUACGAGUAGGGCUACACACGUGCUACAAUGGCAUAUACAAAGAGAAGCGACCUCGCGAGAGCAAGCGGACCUCAUAAAGUAUGUCGUAGUCCGGAUUGGAGUCUGCAACUCGACUCCAUGAAGUCGGAAUCGCUAGUAAUCGUAGAUCAGAAUGCUACGGUGAAUACGUUCCCGGGCCUUGUACACACCGCCCGUCACACCAUGGGAGUGGGUUGCAAAAGAAGUAGGUAGCUUAACCUUCGGGAGGGCGCUUACCACUUUGUGAUUCAUGACUGGGGUGAAGUCGUAACAAGGUAACCG
RNAcentral lists this ribosomal RNA (1502 nucleotides) under uncultured bacterium. RNAcentral's name for it is "16S ribosomal RNA". It matches the Rfam family "Bacterial small subunit ribosomal RNA". The record is from RNAcentral.